CGAGCGGGGGAGGUAGCUUGCUACUGGACCUAGCGGCGGACGGGUGAGUAAUGCUUAGGAAUCUGCCUAUUAGUGGGGGACAACAUUCCGAAAGGAAUGCUAAUACCGCAUACGUCCUACGGGAGAAAGCAGGGGACCUUCGGGCCUUGCGCUAAUAGAUGAGCCUAAGUCGGAUUAGCUAGUUGGUGGGGUAAAGGCCUACCAAGGCGACGAUCUGUAGCGGGUCUGAGAGGAUGAUCCGCCACACUGGGACUGAGACACGGCCCAGACUCCUACGGGAGGCAGCAGUGGGGAAUAUUGGACAAUGGGGGGAACCCUGAUCCAGCCAUGCCGCGUGUGUGAAGAAGGCCUUAUGGUUGUAAAGCACUUUAAGCGAGGAGGAGGCUACUAGUAUUAAUACUACUGGAUAGUGGACGUUACUCGCAGAAUAAGCACCGGCUAACUCUGUGCCAGCAGCCGCGGUAAUACAGAGGGUGCGAGCGUUAAUCGGAUUUACUGGGCGUAAAGCGUGCGUAGGCGGCCAUUUAAGUCAAAUGUGAAAUCCCCGAGCUUAACUUGGGAAUUGCAUUCGAUACUGGAUGGCUAGAGUAUGGGAGAGGAUGGUAGAAUUCCAGGUGUAGCGGUGAAAUGCGUAGAGAUCUGGAGGAAUACCGAUGGCGAAGGCAGCCAUCUGGCCUAAUACUGACGCUGAGGUACGAAAGCAUGGGGAGCAAACAGGAUUAGAUACCCUGGUAGUCCAUGCCGUAAACGAUGUCUACUAGCCGUUGGGGCC
Molecule: ribosomal RNA, 772 nt
Filed under: uncultured bacterium
Lineage: Bacteria
Description: bacterial SSU rRNA
Rfam family: Bacterial small subunit ribosomal RNA
Source: RNAcentral